CAGAGGGGGCAAGCGUUGCUCGGAAUUACUGGCGUAAAGGGCGCGUAGGCGGGAUGGUAAGUCGGUCGUGAAAGCCUUCGGCUCAACCGAAGAACGUCGGCCGAAACUGCCAUUCUUGAGGGAUGCAGAGGAGACUGGAAUUCCCGGUGUAGCGGUGAAAUGUGUAGAGAUCGGGAGGAACACCGGUGGCGAAGGCGGGUCUCUGGGCAUCUCCUGACGCUGAGGCGCGAAAGCGUGGGGAGCAAACGGGAUUAGAUACCCCGGUAGUCCACGCUGUAAACGAUGACGACUAGGUGUGGGGUGGUUCAGUCCAUUCCGUGCCGCAGCUAACGCAUUAAGUCGUCCGCCUGGGGAGUACGGCCGCAAGGUUG
This 371-nucleotide ribosomal RNA is filed under the name uncultured organism. Its description in RNAcentral is "bacterial SSU rRNA". It matches the Rfam family "Bacterial small subunit ribosomal RNA", at positions 526 to 896 of the family's 1533-position model. The record is from RNAcentral.